UGCCACAUAAUGGGAUUCCAAAAUACA
This 27-nucleotide non-coding RNA is filed under the name Rattus norvegicus (Norway rat). Lineage: Eukaryota; Metazoa; Chordata; Mammalia; Rodentia; Muridae. The record is from RNAcentral.